GAUGAAGAACGUAGCGAAAUGCGAUAAGUAGUGUGAAUUGCAGAAUUCAGUGAAUCAUCGAAUCUUUGAACGCACAUUGCGCCCCUUGGUAUUCCAUGGGGCAUGCCUGUUCGAGCGUCAUUUGUACCUUCAAGCUUUGCUUGGUGUUGGGUGUUUGUCUCGCCUUUGCGUGUAGACUCGCCUUAAAAUAAUUGGCAGCCGGCGUAUUGAUUUCGGAGCGCAGUACAUCUCGCGCUUUGCACUCAUAACGACAGCGUCCAAAAGUACAUUUUACACUCUUGACCUCGGAUCAGGUAGGGAUACCCGCUGAACUUAAGCAUAUCAUAAGCGGAGGA
Molecule: unclassified non-coding RNA, 335 nt
Filed under: soil metagenome
Description: partial contains 5.8S ribosomal RNA, internal transcribed spacer 2, and large subunit ribosomal RNA
Rfam family: 5.8S ribosomal RNA (bases 1-120)
Source: RNAcentral